This 1362-nucleotide unclassified non-coding RNA is filed under the name uncultured Neocallimastigales. RNAcentral's name for it is "partial contains small subunit ribosomal RNA, internal transcribed spacer 1, 5.8S ribosomal RNA, internal transcribed spacer 2, and large subunit ribosomal RNA". The stretch from base 607 to 1362 matches the Rfam family "Eukaryotic large subunit ribosomal RNA", at positions 1 to 611 of the family's 3401-position model. Lineage: Eukaryota; Fungi; Neocallimastigomycota; Neocallimastigomycetes; Neocallimastigales. The record is from RNAcentral.
UUUCCGUAGGUGAACCUGCGGAAGGAUCAUUAAAAAAUGUGGUACCAAUUAUUGGUACUAAUUAAUCAUCCUACCCUUUGUGAAUUUGUUUGUAUGAAUUUUUUAAAUGGGUCUUUCCCUAAGUUGGAUUGUAGUAAAAUACAAAAAGACUUAGGGGAAUGACUUUUUUAAAAGACUUUUUUUUAAUUAAAACUUUUUGUAUUCAUUUGUCUAAAAUUAUUUUUAUAAUAUAAAAACAACUUUUGACAAUGGAUCUCUUGGUUCUCGCAACGAUGAAGAACGCAGCAAAAUGCGAUAAGUAGUGUGAAUUGCAGAAUACGUGAAUCAUCGAAUCUUCGAACGCAUAUUGCACUUUUUUAGUUUACUAAAAAAGUAUGUCUGUUUGAGUAUCAGUAAAAUAUUCUCACAACAUAUAUUGUUUGUGGUUAUGAGUGUUUUACAACGAUAAACAAGUUGUUUCACUUUUAAAUUCUUUUUAAUUGAAUUUUUACCAAUUCAUAAAUUAAAAUUGGAUAAAUUUUCUUUAACGAGGAAUAACCUAAACAAUUUUAAAUUUUAUGGAUUAAUAAACAUUCAUCAAAGGAAUCUAAUUAUACAUAAAUAACUUGAUCUCAAAUCAGAUAAGAGUACCCGCUGAACUUAAGCAUAUCAAUAAGCGGAGGAAAAGAACUAACAAGGAUUCCCUUAGUAACGGCGAGUGAAGCGGGAAGAGCUAAAUUUGAAAUCUUCAAGGUUUGACCUUGACGAAUUGUAGUUUAUAGAAGUGUUUUCUGUUGGAGUUUUGGUAAAAGUUCUUUGGAAUAGGACAUCAUAGAGGGUGAGAAUCCCGUAUUUGACCAUGACUUUCCAGCUGUGUGAUACACUUUCAAAGAGUCGGAUUGUUUGGGAAUGCAGUCCAAAAUGGGUGGUAAAUUUCAUCUAAAGCUAAAUAUUGGCGAGAGACCGAUAGCGAACAAGUACCGUGAGGGAAAGAUGAAAGAACUUUGAAAAGAGAGUUAAACAGUACGUGAAAUUGUCAAAAGGGAAGCGUUUGACACCAGUGUUGUUUUCUCGAAAAUCAAUUUAAUGAGUUCUUGUUUUUAAGUUAUUGUGACUUUAUCAGCGCAUUUCUUAUUUUACUUGACUCAUUGAAUGCACUUUUCGUUUAACAAGUCAACAUCAAUUUCUUUGGUGGUAAAAAGUUUAAAGGAAGGUGGCUUGGACUUCGGUUCAAGUGUUUAUAGCCUUUUUUCUAUGCCAUCGGAGAGAUUGAGGUCUGCAGCGUAGAUCCUUCGGGUUAGAUACCUCUGUGCUAAGUUAUAGUUUUUUAUAGACAACUUGUUGACUAUAAUUAACCCUGUAAUUUACUCGCUUAGGCUAUUU